RNAcentral lists this ribosomal RNA (810 nucleotides) under uncultured crenarchaeote. Its description in RNAcentral is "bacterial SSU rRNA". It matches the Rfam family "Archaeal small subunit ribosomal RNA", at positions 54 to 871 of the family's 1478-position model. Lineage: Archaea; Thermoproteati; Thermoproteota. The record is from RNAcentral.
CGAGUCAUUGUAGCAUACAAGGCAUACGGCUCAGUAACGCGUAGUCCACCUAACCUAUGGACGGGAAUAACCUCGGGAAACUGAGAAUAAUGCCCGAUAGAACAUUAUGCCUGGAAUGGUUUAUGUUCCAAAUGAUUUAUCGCCGUAGGAUGGGACUGCGGCCUAUCAGUUUGUUGGUGAGGUAAUGGCCUACCAAGACUAUUACAGGUACGGGCUCUGAGAGGAGUAGCCCGGAGAUGGGUACUGAGACACGGACCCAGGCCCUAUGGGGCGCAGCAGGCGAGAAAACUUUGCAAUGUGCGAAAGCACGACAAGGUUAAUCCGAGUGGUUUCUGCUAAAGAAACCUUUUGUCAGUCCUAGAAACACUGAUGAAUAAGGGGUGGGCAAGUUCUGGUGUCAGCCGCCGCGGUAAAACCAGCACCUCAAGUGGUCAGGAUGAUUAUUGGGCCUAAAGCAUCCGUAGCCGGCUCUGUAAGUUUUCGGUUAAAUCUGUACGCUCAACGUACAGGCUGCCGGGAAUACUGCAGAGCUAGGGAGUGGGAGAGGUAGACGGUACUCGGUAGGAAGGGGUAAAAUCCUUUGAUCUAUUGAUGACCACCUGUGGCGAAGGCGGUCUACCAGAACACGUCCGACGGUGAGGGAUGAAAGCUGGGGGAGCAAACCGGAUUAGAUACCCGGGUAGUCCCAGCUGUAAACUAUGCAAACUCAGUGAUGCAUUGGCUUGUGGCCAAUGCAGUGCUGCAGGGAAGCCGUUAAGUUUGCCGCCUGGGAAGUACGUACGCAAGUAUGACACUCAAAGGAAUUGACGG